CAGUCGCCGCGGUAAUGCGGAGGGGGCUAGCGUUGUUCGGAAUUACUGGGCGUAAAGCGCACGUAGGCGGCUUGGUAAGUUAGAGGUGAAAGCCUGGAGCUCAACUCCAGAAUUGCCUUUAAGACUGCCGAGCUAGCAGGUGAGAGAGGUAAGUGGAAUUCCGAGUGUAGAGGUGAAAUUCGUAGAUAUUCGGAAGAACGCCAGUGGCGAAGGCGGCUUACUGGCUCAUACUGGACGCUGAGGCGCGAAAGCGUGGGGAGCAAACAGGAUUAGAUACCCCAGUAGUCCCUGUCUCUUAUAC
Molecule: ribosomal RNA, 301 nt
Filed under: uncultured bacterium
Lineage: Bacteria
Description: partial 16S ribosomal RNA
Rfam family: Bacterial small subunit ribosomal RNA
Source: RNAcentral